CAGCAGCCUAGCACGUGUCUUAUGAGCCUUGACCAGGAGAGUCAGAGGCAACUGUUAGAGAAUAGAAAUGAUGCUGAUGGUGAUGAUGACAACAGCAGCAGCAACUGUGGCAGCAAGAAAAGAGCUCAUCCUACUGGAGCUAUUCAGGCAUCACGCGCUUCCCAAGGAAGUUACAAUGGCUCCCGGAGACUUCCCAAUACAAUGUGGAGGUGGCUGCUACUGGCCCGGCUUUACAGAGGAUCAGUCUGAGUCUCGGGGAAAUUUAAAGGUACUUAGUCAAAGCC
RNAcentral lists this long non-coding RNA (284 nucleotides) under Fukomys damarensis (Damara mole-rat). RNAcentral's name for it is "lncRNA (ENSFDAG00000025724.1)". The record is from RNAcentral. Lineage: Eukaryota; Metazoa; Chordata; Mammalia; Rodentia; Bathyergidae.